AACGAACGCUGGCGGCAUGCCUAACACAUGCAAGUCGAACGAGAUCCUUCGGGGUCUAGUGGCGGACGGGUGAGUAACGCGUGGGGACCUGCCCAGGGGUACGGAAUAACUACGGGAAACUGUAGCUAAUACCGUAUGAUGCCGAAAGGCCAAAGAUUUAUCGCCCUUGGAUGGACCCGCGUUGGAUUAGCUAGUUGGUGAGGUAAUGGCUCACCAAGGCGACGAUCCAUAGCUGGUUUGAGAAGAUGAUCAGCCACACUGGGACUGAGACACGGCCCAGACUCCUACGGGAGGCAGCAGUGGGGAAUAUUGGACAAUGGGGGCAACCCUGAUCCAGCAAUGCCGCGUGAGUGAAGAAGGCCUUAGGGGUUGUAAAGCUCUUUCAGAUGGGAAGAUAAUGACGGUACCAUCAGAAGAAGCCCCCGGCUAAACUCCGUGCCAGCAGCCGCGGUAAU
RNAcentral lists this ribosomal RNA (455 nucleotides) under uncultured bacterium. RNAcentral describes it as "bacterial SSU rRNA". It matches the Rfam family "Bacterial small subunit ribosomal RNA", at positions 29 to 524 of the family's 1533-position model. The record is from RNAcentral.